Molecule: non-coding RNA, 2954 nt
Organism: Taeniopygia guttata (zebra finch)
Lineage: Eukaryota; Metazoa; Chordata; Aves; Passeriformes; Estrildidae
Source: RefSeq, a predicted model, not a curated record
UUGGUUUUGGUGGAGGUGUCUACAGGGCAGAAGGGAGCAGGGAGGAAUGUCCCUGUCCUUGUCUCUGUGACAGUGCCAGCUGAAGAGAUCCUGCUGCAUGCCCAGCCUCCCACCAGCCUGUGCCUUCCUUCCUACUGCGUGCAAUGCCUCCACAAAAACACAUUUAGAACCUUGUGAGCAGAUCCAGGAUCAAUGUAACAGCUCAAAAGGAAAAUGCUGCCUCAGAGGAUAAAAUUCCUGGAUCUGCACUCUCUGUCCUGAAAUCCCAAGCCCUGCCUGGGACAAAGGUCUUUCUUACCCACCACCUUCACUAUUGGGAAAUUUUCCUGACUUACUUCAUCAAAAUUCAUGGUUUGAAAGUUCAGAUCCGCAGUGAUCUGGGGCGCAGAUCUGUUGAACAGAUUCAAUGUCCCUUCACAUCUGUCCAAGCUCAUCUGGGUGGACCUAAGCCCUGCACUCUGAAAACUGGCUCUGUGAGAGAGAAGUGGUGGUUGUUCUUCCCUCCUUACUCAGGAUGGGUUCUGCUGUGCCUCCCACUGAUUUACAAAACCCUCCAAGUGCCCCUGGUCCUGUCUGCAGGUGAAAUGGAGGGUUACUGGCAGCACCUCCCUCUCUGCCCUCCCCUCCUCAGGGCUGGGAAGCUCCAUGUGCUGGAGCAGUGCAGGAAGCUGUCACACAGCUCCCUGUGCCCCCACCCAGGUCCUGCAGCUGAUCUGCUCUUCUGCUCAAAGGUCCCAGGGCUUUGGUCAUUCUGAAGGCUCAGGUUUCUGCUCUUCCUUACACUCAGUGUCCUUUGAUCUUUGCCUGCUUCAUGCUUAUCUCUCUGUCCCACUCAGUAAAGUGAGAUUUAUGCUGGUAGAUAAGAUAGGAAGGCUGUUAUAUUUGGGUAUGGGAAAAUAAAACAUUGUCAAGAGCCAGGCUGACCAUGAAUGGAAGGAAAACAGAUCACCUGGCAAGGUCCAAGGCUCAAGGACCCCUUUACAAAGGUGCCUGUGCAGGGGAAGCCGGAGCCAUCGCUCUCCUCCUGCUACACCAGGCUGAGAGAGGCUUGGGAUACACCUCAAAUCCAUGGAUGCUCCCUGCACUCCAGUGUGGCUGGUACAAUUGGGAUGUGCUCCAUUGAAUUUACAAUGUUUAGCUGACUCCUGUGCUUGCCAUGGGGGUCGCUUCCCUGACUGUAUAUUAGAGUCUAGUGCUCGUUAGUGGCUGCUUGUUGCUUUUACUGCUGCUCUGGUGCUUAUCACCUCGCUGGAUCAUGCCUGGGAACACUGAUAACAGCCAUGAAGGGCCUGGGCUGGCAGGUGGCCAGGGCAGUGCUGCUGGGUCUGUGCUGGACAGGCUGGAACUCGGGUCUGAACCCGAGCUGAGGGGACUGAGAGUGUGAAUGAGUCCAGCACGGAGCAGAGAUCCAUCGCAGGCCAUGGAGGAACCCACGCCCCAGCAGGGGGGUGCCUGGAGGGAAUGGCCUCUGUGGGGUCUGUGCUGGAGCAGGUUUGCUGCAGGACCUGUGAGCCCUUGGGAGAGCCAAGCUGGAGCAGCUGGAAUUACUAAAACAGGCACCAUUCAAACCAAAGCAGGAGAAGCCUCCAAAGAAGCAGUGGCAAGGCAGCAGUGACCUGACCAGAGCUGCCUUUGGUGCCCAAUAACUCUCCUCACCCAGUGCCUCUGCUGUCCUGAGUGACCACCAGGAUAGAUGGAGCUCAAAGCCAUGGACUAAAUGAAUUAACAGGCAUUUUGUUGAUGCUAUAUAAACAUUUUCCAGAGUGGUCCAUAGACUAAGGGAAUGAUAUCUGUGUGUUAUAUCAAAGAAUGAAAAGAGGGGUGGUGGCUAUUGAAGUUGUACUGAAUAGUGUGGGACCUGGAAUGGUGUAAAGGGUAUGGAAUAUGAGGUGGAGUGGUCUGGGUUUGGCUGCAGUAGAGUUAUUUUCUUCCCAGUGUGCUGUAUUUUGUAUUUGUGCUGACCACAGGGUUGAUAACAUGGAGAUGUUUUUGUUAUUGCUGAGCAGAGCUUGCACAGAGCCAAGGGCUUUUCUUCUUCUCAUCCUGCCUUGCUGCCAAGGAAGUGGGUGUGUGGUGGAGCUGGGGAGGAGACAGGGGCAGGACAGGUGAUCCCAACUGACCAAAGGGAUAUUCCAUAGCAUCUGUGCUUGGGGUGGCCACUGCAGAGUGGGGUGUGUGUGGAGGAUGGCACGUGUCCCUGUGGAUGCUCCACAGGCAGGUCAGGGGAGGGGAGAGGUGCAGGAUGAGGCUCCAGCAGAGGUUUUACCUGCAUGAUGGCUGGGAAGGGGGACAGAUGAGACAGAGGAAAUUGUAUAGUAGUGUUUUCAGUUUUCUGCUGCCAGUAGGCAAAUCACCACCUUUACAGGAACUUACAGGAAAGAUGGGGCAAGACUAUUUACAAGAGCAUGUAGUGACAAGAAAAGGGGCAGUGGGUCCAGAUUCAAAGAGAUUAGGUUUAGAGUAGAUAUCAGGAAAAUAUUUUUUGCUGUGAGGGUGGGCAGGCCCUGGCACAGGGUGCCCAGAGAAGCUGUGACUGCCCCAGGAUCCCUGGAAGUGUCCAAGGCCAGGUUGGACAUGGCUUGGAGCAACUUGGGAUAGUGGAAGGUGUCCCUGCCCAUGGCAGGGGGUGGGAGCUGGAUGCCCUUCAAGGUCCCCUUCCAACCCAAACCAUUCUGUGAUUCUAUGACCCUUUAGAGCAGAAAGCUGCAGGUGUCCUGUGGCACCCAGGAGCCCUUGGGUCCCACAAAGUAGAUUGAAGAGAGCUGGAGAGAAGGCAAAAACAUUAAUGCUCUCAUAGUAGUGCCUUGUGCUUCCUACAGAGCAUUUUAUCACAGGAAUGCCAAGUGUUUUGCAAGAUCUUAAAUAAUUAAGCCUUAGAUCAGUGCCAUGCAAGACAGAAAUAUCUCCCUUCCUCCUCAAUUUCAUCUGUCUGGGAUGGCCCAGCUGGGAGCCAA